CGGACGAACGCUGGCGGCGUGCUUAACACAUGCAAGUCGAACGGACGAGUGAGAUAAAGUUUACUUAACUCACAAGUUAGUGGCGGACGGGUGAGUAACACGUGGAUAAUCUACCUGCAACACCGGGAUAACGCUGUGAAAAACGGUGCUAAUACCGGAUACGUUCCCUUGUGCGCAUGUAUGAGGGAAGAAAGCUCAGGCGGUUGCAGAUGAGUCCGCGGCUGAUUAGCUAGUUGGUGAGGUAAAGGCUCACCAAGGCGAUGAUCAGUAGCCGGCCUGAGAGGGUGAACGGCCACACUGGGACUGAGACACGGCCCAGACUCCUACGGGAGGCAGCAGUGGGGAAUCUUCCGCAAUGGGCGCAAGCCUGACGGAGCAACGCCGCGUGGGUGAAGAAGGCCUUCGGGGUUGUAAAGCCCUGUCUUAUGGGAAGAAGUCAGUGACGGUACCAUAGGAGGAAGCCACGGCUAACUACGUG
Molecule: ribosomal RNA, 478 nt
Filed under: uncultured bacterium
Lineage: Bacteria
Description: bacterial SSU rRNA
Rfam family: Bacterial small subunit ribosomal RNA
Source: RNAcentral